GAGACCAAACUUCAGGCUGUUCAACUGUUUCGGCAUAGUCUUGAGCACGAUCGAGACUAACAAUGUCCUCAACUAAUACCUUCAUAGCCUGUUCAUGCUUGUUGUGAAUCUUGUAAAUUCUGAAAGCCUCUUCAUAAAGGCCAUUUUCAAUAGCAAUUUCGGCAAUCUCAUCGACAUCGUACUUAUCCAACUUAUCGAUAUACUCCAUA
Non-coding RNA from Schizosaccharomyces pombe (fission yeast), 209 nucleotides. Lineage: Eukaryota; Fungi; Ascomycota; Schizosaccharomycetes; Schizosaccharomycetales; Schizosaccharomycetaceae. The record is from the annotation of a GenBank genome assembly.